UAUCAUUAGUUGCCAUCAGGUCAAGCUGGGGACUCUAAUGAAACUGCCUACGCAAGUAGUGAGGAAGGUGGGGAUGACGUCAAAUCAGCACGGCCCUUACGUCCAGGGCUACACACGUGCUACAAUGGCCGGUACAAAGGGCAGCUACCUGGUGACAGGAUGCUAAUCUCAAAAGCCGGUCUCAGUUCGGAUCGGAGUCUGCAACCCGACUCCGUGAAGUUGGAUUCGCUAGUAAUCGCGCAUCAGCCAUGGCGCGGUGAAUACGUUCCCGGGCCUU
RNAcentral lists this ribosomal RNA (277 nucleotides) under uncultured Sphingobacteriales bacterium. Its description in RNAcentral is "partial 16S ribosomal RNA". It matches the Rfam family "Bacterial small subunit ribosomal RNA", at positions 1106 to 1382 of the family's 1533-position model. The record is from RNAcentral. Lineage: Bacteria; Pseudomonadati; Bacteroidota; Sphingobacteriia; Sphingobacteriales.